GAUGAACGCUGGCGGCGUGCCUAAUACAUGCAAGUCGAGCGAACGGACGAGAAGCUUGCUUCUCUGAUGUUAGCGGCGGACGGGUGAGUAACACGUGGAUAACCUACCUAUAAGACUGGGAUAACUUCGGGAAACCGGAGCUAAUACCGGAUGAUAUUUUGAACCGCAUGGUUCAAAAGUGAAAGACGGUCUUGCUGUCACUUAUAGAUGGAUCCGCGCUGCAUUAGCUAGUUGGUAAGGUAACGGCUUACCAAGGCAACGAUGCAUAGCCGACCUGAGAGGGUGAUCGGCCACACUGGAACUGAGACACGGUCCAGACUCCUACGGGAGGCAGCAGUAGGGAAUCUUCCGCAAUGGGCGAAAGCCUGACGGAGCAACGCCGCGUGAGUGAUGAAGGUCUUCGGAUCGUAAAACUCUGUUAUUAGGGGAGAACAUAUGUGUAAGUAACUGUGCACAUCUUGACGGUGCCUAAUCAGAAAGCCACGGCUAACUACGUG
Molecule: ribosomal RNA, 497 nt
Filed under: uncultured bacterium
Lineage: Bacteria
Description: partial 16S ribosomal RNA
Rfam family: Bacterial small subunit ribosomal RNA
Source: RNAcentral